GGAGAUAUGGGGGGUGGCGACAGUAGAGAGGGAGAGAGGAGGAAGAAUGGCAUUAGUGGCAGAGGUGGAGGUGGUGGUAAAGGAACAGCAGCAAUGGUGGUGAAGAUGCGGCGAAAAUGAUAGGAGGAGGUAAUAUGGUGACGGUCGAAGGAACGGUGGCAGUGCUGGCGAUGAUGGGGUCACCAGUGGUGGGGGGGGGUGGCCCGGGUGGGUGGUGAUGGAAGAGAGAAUUGGGUGUGUUUUUGAUAUUAUGGGGUGCGUUUUUGGUAUUUUACAUAUGUUAGGUAUUUUAGAAAGUUUCUGUAGCUAAAAUUGAAGUAACAAAAAAACCUUUGUCUAAAACAAACAUGCAAAAAACACACAUUAAACGGACCACUCCCAACAUAACACGAGUACGUAGGUACUGUUCAACUAUGACUUCUGCCAAAGGUUUUGAAUCUAUUUCAUAUUUAAUUUCGACCACACAAAAUUCAAAUAGGACGCUGCUAACCAUAAACUCUACUCUAUAAUUACUUCUGGUAAUUGUUGAGAGUGCCAUCAUUCAAUACUUUUUUUUUUUUUUUGAUACAGGGAUGUCCUGAUCUUGUGAAUUAGAUUAAUUUCUUGCCGUCGGUAAUUAUCAAUAAGGGUCGAACUGAGAACUUGCCGCUGAAGAGCGGAUGAUGGAACCAGACGAACUGCCUGUUGGGGACGCCAUCAUUCAAUACUUGUUGUCUGAAAAUCAAACUCGUUAGCUGACCUGAAAAGAUACCAUUUACUUGCAAUUUGUCUUACUUUCCGUCCAUCUCUUCUGGUUAAUUUUUCUUCCAAUAAUGCAAGUGGAAUCAAUAAAGAAUAUGUACAGUGGAACAACCCCUUUUUUUUUUGUUUGUUUCUUUUUUGUUUAUGCAAAUGAAAUGAUAUGAUUCUGUUCAAACUAUGUGGUCAGUCUAGUCAUUAGUGGCAUGAAGUCAAAAUAUUCAGUUUGGAACUAUAUGCCUACAUAGUAGCAGAAUUUCGGGAGCCAAAUAGAAGAUGGACACAUUCGUGAGUGAGUCUGGUCCUAGGCACCAUGGACAUGCUUGAAAAUGGCACUAUACACAAGAGUCUAAAUAAGACAAAAGCACCCAAGUGAUAAUGUCAAUUUUGAAAAAGGUUG
This 1138-nucleotide long non-coding RNA is filed under the name Coffea arabica (coffee). Its description in RNAcentral is "long non-coding RNA (CARA_LNC005894)". Lineage: Eukaryota; Viridiplantae; Streptophyta; Magnoliopsida; Gentianales; Rubiaceae. The record is from RNAcentral.